This 734-nucleotide long non-coding RNA is filed under the name Numida meleagris (helmeted guineafowl). RNAcentral's name for it is "lncRNA (ENSNMEG00000020156.1)". The record is from RNAcentral. Lineage: Eukaryota; Metazoa; Chordata; Aves; Galliformes; Numididae.
GUGGUUGUGCAAAGCACAUGUUCUCUCACCUAAUAUUUUGAAUUUAAUGAUAACCUGUACAAUUCUUACAUAUAUUGAGAAUAAUGUCUUUCCUAAAGUAGAUAAAUAUAACUGCUUUCUGUGUUGCAGGUGGGCAAAAUGAGCUGCUGAAUGCUUCACUGGUUUGGGCUGAAAAGCCCAGCAGGCCACCUGCACGGAUGUGAUUUGGCUCCUCACUCCACUUGCUGCCCAUCAGCCUUGAGCCCCAUCCAACAGGCCAUGGCUGGGAGGGAGUGUGGGCAGACAGGAGAAGAGGAAGAUUUACGUAAGGGAACAACGGGACGAGUGAAGGAAACUGCUCUUUGCUGCUGACAAUUGCUACAGAGGUGACUGCAGCAGUGAGCUGCCGUCAGAGUUAUUUGUAAAUCCAGGAACAAACUGAGAAAUGUAUUGCUGUACUUCAUGGACAUCUAAAUGAAGGCCUUGUCUUCUCACGGGUCCAUGAGGUUGCAGCAGAGCCAUGAAACCACAUUUCUACACAGUACAGAUUCGCUGGAAGAUAGAGGGAGGCAAGUGACUGAAUGGAGAGCAGGGCAGCAAAGGUUAACAGCUUUCUGCUCUUGGUCUCCUGGAUCUUCUUGUCAGUGCAGUAACAGCUGGAUCUCCCAGGAAGGUAAUGAUCUUCCCGGCUGCUCUGUCUUGCUGCAGGCUAUUAGAAAAGACACGCAGCCCCUUUGCUGCCCAUUUCUUUAGCA